GAUGAACGCUGACAGAAUGCUUAACACAUGCAAGUCAACUGUGGCGGACGGGUGAGUAACGCGUAAAGAACUUUCCUCACAGCUAGGGACACCAUUUGGAAACGAAUGCUAAUACCUGAUACUGUGAGAGAGCUUUGCGUCCCAUUAGAGAGUUGGAGAGGUAACGGCUCACCAAGGCGAUGAUGGGUAGCCGGCCUGAGAGGGUGAUCGGGCACAAGGGGAAUGGGACACGGCCCUUACUCCUACGUGAGGCAGGAGUGGGGAAUAGUGGACAAUGGACCAAAGUGUGAUCCAGCAAUUCUGUGGGCACGAUGAAGUUUUCGGAAUGAAAAGUUGUUUAAGUUGGGAAGCGGUACCAACAGAAGAAGUGACGGCUAAAUACGUGCCAGCAGCCGCGGUAAUUC
Molecule: ribosomal RNA, 404 nt
Filed under: uncultured bacterium
Lineage: Bacteria
Description: partial 16S ribosomal RNA
Rfam family: Bacterial small subunit ribosomal RNA
Source: RNAcentral